UAACGAGCGCAACCCUCGCUGUGUGUUACAAGUGUCACAACGGUACUGCCGGGUAUUAAGUCGGAGGAAGGUGGGGAUGACGUCAAGUCAGCAUGACCUUUAUAUCCAGGGCUACACACACGCUACAAUGGUCAGUACAAUAGGUUGCCAAGCCGCGAGGCGGAGCCAAUCCUAAAAAGCUGGCCUCAGUUCAGAUUGCAGUCUGCAACUCGACUGCAUGAAGUUGGAGUUGCUAGUAACCGCAGGUCAGCUAUACUGCGGUGAAUACGUUCCCGGGGAUU
This 281-nucleotide ribosomal RNA is filed under the name uncultured Anaerolineaceae bacterium. RNAcentral describes it as "partial 16S ribosomal RNA". It matches the Rfam family "Bacterial small subunit ribosomal RNA", at positions 1090 to 1378 of the family's 1533-position model. Lineage: Bacteria; Bacillati; Chloroflexota; Anaerolineae; Anaerolineales; Anaerolineaceae. The record is from RNAcentral.